CCUACGGGUGGCUGCAGUGGGGAAUUUUGGACAAUGGGGGAAACCCUGAUCCAGCAAUGCCGCGUGUGCGAAGAAGGCCUUCGGGUUGUAAAGCACUUUUGUCAGGGAAGAAAUCCUUUGGGCUAAUACCCUAGGGGGAUGACGGUACCUGAAGAAUAAGCACCGGCUAACUACGUGCCAGCAGCCGCGGUAAUACGUAGGGUGCAAGCGUUAAUCGGAAUUACUGGGCGUAAAGCGUGCGCAGGCGGUUGUGUAAGACAGGUGUGAAAUCCCCG
RNAcentral lists this ribosomal RNA (275 nucleotides) under uncultured Limnobacter sp. RNAcentral describes it as "partial 16S ribosomal RNA". It matches the Rfam family "Bacterial small subunit ribosomal RNA", at positions 338 to 605 of the family's 1533-position model. Lineage: Bacteria; Pseudomonadati; Pseudomonadota; Betaproteobacteria; Burkholderiales; Burkholderiaceae. The record is from RNAcentral.